Long non-coding RNA from Gavialis gangeticus (Gharial), 1707 nucleotides. RefSeq lists it as uncharacterized. Lineage: Eukaryota; Metazoa; Chordata; Crocodylia; Gavialidae. The record is from RefSeq and is a predicted model, not a curated record. The transcript has 2 exons.
UAGACACCAGUGAGAUUAUUAAAUUGGCUGCAUCUUUUUAAAUAUUCCUUAACAUGUAUUUUAAGUAUAGGAGUGUUAACCCCCCUGCCCCACCCCCUCUGGUCUCACAAAAUUGCAACUACAGUAAUUAUCUUUACAUACUAAAUUGUCUGUGACAACUGUCGACUCUAUCCAUCCCUGCUUGGCUGUAUAGAGUUGCUCUUUGUUUAUGGCUGCUAUACAUCACCUCAAAGGUGAACAUCUUUCCAUAGUAGAUAAAAAGGUGUUUCCCCUGCUUAUUGCAGGAGGGCUUUGUGAGACUAUCAGUAAUUAUCUAGUGUUUGUAAAGCUCCUUGAAAUUAUGUGUGCGUUCUAAAACUCUCAACAAGUUAAAAAAAGGAAUUAUUUCCUAUGCCUUCAUUAGCACUAUUGCCACACUCCUAUCUUGUAUUGCAGCUAGAAACAACUAGAUUUUGCAUAUAUAGUUCUUUGUAUCUUUCCAAAACCAAGGGUAGUUUUAUUCAAAAUACUAAACUAAAACUCAUGGAAACCCCUGCGCUAUCUAACCCUUAAUUUAAGUUUAAAAAAAAUAAGUCAUGACAUCUAUGCCACACAUUUAUUUUACUAUUUUGACAACCCUGUGAAUACUGAAAAGAUUAAUCUUGAGAGGCACAUCAGAUAUUUUAGAAAUUACAAAACAAAAGUUACAGAAUAAAAGCCUGAUCUGCCGCCUUUAUGGAGGGAGAGUUUCCACUGACAUAUACAAGAGUUUUACCUGAGAUAAACAGCUGGAUUGAGCUCUAUACCUACCAAACAUUGUGGAUCUAUCACUGAAACUUGCUGUUUCAUGGUUCAAGAUGCUUUUAAUUAAAAAUAAUAAAUAAUAAACUUAAAGAGUUUGGUUAAAUUUCAUAUUUCUUAUUAACCUAGAUUAAAUGCUUUUCCAUUAGACUUGUAUGGAUAUCUAUCUUGAUUUGUCAAAGCAUAAUCUAGGUCUCUAGAAUUAGUACUUUGUAUAAUACUCAUUUUUCACUUCCAGUUUGAAUUACUGUUCAGACAAUUAAAGACUAUUGACACUUUAUUUUUAAAAACAUAUUAUGUUCCUAUCAGUGAAAUUGAUGACUAAUUGCCUAAAAUGAAAUGUAUGCUUUUAAAAAUGCAUUUUCAUGUAUUUUUUCAAAUAUAGACAGGCCCAAUAGUCUGCACAUCCCCUUGUAUGCAAUACUUUUUCAAAAUUUAAAUCUGAAAAAAUAAAAUAAAUGGAGAUUUUCUGAGACAUUUGUAUUUAUUGAUCUUUGUUUUGCUGUCUAGGUGACACAUCUUUACUAGAAACUGUAAAAAUGACUAGUAUUUAAAAAGAAAAUUAAUUAUUGUAAAACAUACCAGUUUGCUAGUACAGCACAUGGAAACGCAGGCCACUAAGCAGGUGGGACAUAAGUGGCAGAACUAUAAACUUCCACAAUCCCCUUCUGGUUAAUAUUACCAAUCCUGAUCUAAAGAGACCACCCUCUGGCCAUUCAUACCUUAAGCUUUCUAUUUAGAUUGCUGAUGGAGAUGCCAAUGUUGAUGUGGACAAUUCACUGGCGAAUGGACUCUGACCAACAAAUUACUUAACCUAUAAAUUACUUUUUUAAAUAUGACUUUAAAACAACAAUCUAUCUCCCUCUCCCAGGAAAUGGCAAUUUAGUGAUUGCAGGAACACACUAUAUGCACGUGCUAGAAAAAAAA